CCCUUAGAUGUUCUGGGCCGCACGCGCGCUACACUGAUGCAUUCAACGAGUCUAAAACCUGCUCUGAUAGGGGUGGGUAAUCUUUUGAAUGUGCAUCGUGAUUGGGAUAGAUGAUUGCAAUUUUUCAUCUUCAACGAGGAAUGCCUAGUAAACGCAAGUCAUCAGCUUGCAUUGAUUACGUCCCUGCCCUUUGUACACACCGCCCGUCGCUCCUACCGAUUGAAUGAUCCGAUGAAUAUCAUGGAUUGAGUAUGCAAGCAGGUUCGCCUGUCUUCAUCUUCGAGAAGUGAAGUAAAUCUUAUCAUUUAGAGGAAGGAGAAGUCGUAACA
Molecule: ribosomal RNA, 329 nt
Filed under: uncultured eukaryote
Lineage: Eukaryota
Description: partial 18S ribosomal RNA
Rfam family: Eukaryotic small subunit ribosomal RNA
Source: RNAcentral